Molecule: transfer RNA, 74 nt
Filed under: Psychroflexus lacisalsi
Lineage: Bacteria; Pseudomonadati; Bacteroidota; Flavobacteriia; Flavobacteriales; Flavobacteriaceae
Also listed under: 2 other names
Description: tRNA-Gly
Rfam family: tRNA
About the family: Transfer RNA (tRNA) molecules are approximately 80 nucleotides in length. Their secondary structure includes four short double-helical elements and three loops (D, anti-codon, and T loops).
Source: RNAcentral
GCGGAAGUAGCUCAGUUGGUAGAGCGUCAGCCUUCCAAGCUGAAUGUCGCCGGUUCGAACCCGGUCUUCCGCUC